Long non-coding RNA from Pieris rapae (cabbage white), 278 nucleotides. RefSeq lists it as uncharacterized. The transcript has 3 exons. Lineage: Eukaryota; Metazoa; Arthropoda; Insecta; Lepidoptera; Pieridae. The record is from RefSeq and is a predicted model, not a curated record.
GUGACAACUAUUUUAUAUCAAAUGUAUAUUUUAUUGAAAGAAUUGUUUUAAAAUGUUUGAAUGAAUUAAUAUAAAGCUAAUUUCACCACUGUAGUUGUGUGAUAAGAUGUGCUAUUGUUUUUUAAACUUAAGCAAACUCCUUUGCUUUAUGAUACCACUGGUAGCCGCAGUUAUUCUUGGGACUUUCAUAUAUAAUUAUUUUAAAACGGAACAUGUUCCCCAGCUUCCUUGAGGUUCUAAGGCAUCAUCAACAAACUUGACGAAGAACAAUAAAGAUG